UACAGAGGGGGCAAGCGUUGUUCGGAAUUACUGGGCGUAAAGGGCGCGUAGGCGGCCUGCUAAGUCGAACGUGAAAUCCCUGGGCUCAACCCAGGAACUGCGUCCGAUACUGGUUGGCUUGAAUCCGGGAGAGGGACGUGGAAUUCCAGGUGUAGCGGUGAAAUGCGUAGAUAUCAGGAAGAACACCCGUGGCGAAGGCGGCUCUCUGGGACGGUACUGACGCUGAGACGCGAAAGCGUGGGAGCGAACAGG
This 252-nucleotide ribosomal RNA is filed under the name uncultured bacterium. RNAcentral's name for it is "partial 16S ribosomal RNA". It matches the Rfam family "Bacterial small subunit ribosomal RNA", at positions 524 to 776 of the family's 1533-position model. The record is from RNAcentral.